RNAcentral lists this ribosomal RNA (319 nucleotides) under uncultured eukaryote. Its description in RNAcentral is "partial 18S ribosomal RNA". It matches the Rfam family "Eukaryotic small subunit ribosomal RNA", at positions 1470 to 1796 of the family's 1831-position model. The record is from RNAcentral.
CCCUUAGAUGUUCUGGGCAGCACGCGCGCUACAAUGGUCUUCGCAAACGGAUGCAUUCUCGAAGGAGAAUGCCAAUCUUGGAAUCUAUGCCUUGGUCGGGACAGUUGCUUGCAAUUUUUCGACUCGAACCAGGAAUUCCUUGUAAUCGUGAUUCAUCACAUCACGAUGAAUACGUCCCUGCCCUUUGUACACACCGCCCGUCGCUCCUACCGAUCGAAGAGUUAGGUGAAUUGUUUUGAUCGAUAAGAUUUGACUAUGGUCAACUCUCGUUGUGAAAUUCUGUGAAUCUGACUGUAUAGAGGAAGGAAAAGUCGUAACA